GUGUCAGCAGCCGCGGUAAAACGUAGGACACAAGCGUUAUCCGGAAUUACUGGGCGUAAAGCGCAUGCAGGCGGAUUACCAAGUCAUGUGUGAAAGCUCCCGGCUAAACUGGGAGAGGACGGAUGAGACUGGUAGUCUGGAGGGUGGUAGAGGCGUGUGGAAUUCCGCGUGUAGUGGUGAAAUGCGUAGAGAUGCGGAGGAACACCAGUGGCGAAGGCGGCACGCUGGGCCACACCUGACGCUGAGAUGCGAAAGCAUGGGGAGCGAACGGGAUUAGAAACCCCGGUAGUCC
Molecule: ribosomal RNA, 292 nt
Filed under: uncultured bacterium
Lineage: Bacteria
Description: partial 16S ribosomal RNA
Rfam family: Bacterial small subunit ribosomal RNA
Source: RNAcentral